CCUACGGGUGGCAGCAGUCGAGAAUCAUUCACAAUGGGGGAAACCCUGAUGGUGCGACGCCGCGUGGGGGAAUGAAGGUCUUCGGAUUGUAAACCCCUGUCAUGUGGGAGCAAAUUAAAAAGAUAGUACCACAAGAGGAAGAGACGGUUAACUCUGUGCCAGCAGCCGCGGUAAUACAGAGGUCUCAAGCGUUGUUCGGAAUCCCUGGGCGUAAGGCGUGCGUAGGCAGUGUCGUAAGUCGUGUGUGAAAGGCGCGGGCUCAACCCGCGGACGGCACAUGAUACUGCGAGACUAGAGUAAUGGAGGGGGAACCGGAAUUCUCGGUGUAGCAGUGAAAUGCGUAGAUAUCGAGAGGAACACUCGUGGCGAAGGCGGGUUCCUGGACAUUAACUGACGCUGAGGCACGAAGGCCAGGGGAGCGAAAGGGAUUAGAUACCCGAGUAGUC
RNAcentral lists this ribosomal RNA (446 nucleotides) under uncultured bacterium. RNAcentral describes it as "partial 16S ribosomal RNA". It matches the Rfam family "Bacterial small subunit ribosomal RNA", at positions 338 to 795 of the family's 1533-position model. The record is from RNAcentral.